RNAcentral lists this unclassified non-coding RNA (565 nucleotides) under Hevea brasiliensis (rubber tree). Lineage: Eukaryota; Viridiplantae; Streptophyta; Magnoliopsida; Malpighiales; Euphorbiaceae. The record is from RNAcentral.
UUCACAAUCAAGUUCGUCUGCUCGAAAAGGAGCAUCUCUAUCUGCACCUUCUUCAGGGAAAGUCAGCUCUGCUACGAGGGUUCCAAGUAAUAGAAUAUCAAGUCAUAAACCUUCACAGGAAUCUGCCACUGCUGAUGGGUCUGAUCCAAAGUUGGUUGAGAUGAUAAAUUCUGUAAUUGUGGAUAGAAGCCCGUCUGUUAAAUGGGAAGAUAUUGCUGGCCUUGAAAAGGCAAAGCAAGCUCUUUUAGAGAUGGUAAUUCUACCAACCAAAAGAAAGGACCUCUUCACUGGCUUGAGAAAGCCUGCUAGAGGUCUACUUCUUUUUGGCCCACCAGGUACUGGAAAAACCAUGCUUGCCAAAGCAGUAGCAUCAGAGUCACAAGCAACCUUUUUCAAUGUGUCUGCUUCUUCGUUAACAUCAAAGUGGGUCGGAGAGGGUGAAAAGCUUGUCAAGACAUUGUUCAUGGUUGCCAUUUCCAGGCAGCCAUCUGUAAUUUUCAUGGAUGAGAUAGAUAGUAUUAUGUCAACUAGGACUACCAAUGAGAAUGAAGCAAGCAGAAGGUUG